Molecule: ribosomal RNA, 253 nt
Filed under: uncultured bacterium
Lineage: Bacteria
Description: partial 16S ribosomal RNA
Rfam family: Bacterial small subunit ribosomal RNA
Source: RNAcentral
UACGUAGGGCGCAAGCGUUAUCCGGAAUUAUUGGGCGUAAAGAGCUCGUAGGCGGUUUGUCGCGUCUGCCGUGAAAGUCCGGGGCUCAACUCCGGAUCUGCGGUGGGUACGGGCAGACUAGAGUGAUGUAGGGGAGACUGGAAUUCCUGGUGUAGCGGUGAAAUGCGCAGAUAUCAGGAGGAACACCGAUGGCGAAGGCAGGUCUCUGGGCAUUAACUGACGCUGAGGAGCGAAAGCAUGGGGAGAGAACAGG